Papaver somniferum (opium poppy) is the source of this 2929-nucleotide RNA transcript. RefSeq lists it as uncharacterized. The transcript has 3 exons. Lineage: Eukaryota; Viridiplantae; Streptophyta; Magnoliopsida; Ranunculales; Papaveraceae. The record is from RefSeq and is a predicted model, not a curated record.
UGUAAAUAUAUCAAAUGGCUCAAUAAAUAUGUCGGUGGAGAGGUUAGAACUCACGAAACCGUUUCCUUGAAGAGUGACGUCAGAUGCAAGGUUUUACGAUUUUAACCCUAAGCUAAAAACCACAAUAAACAUUAAGUCCCCUGCUUAGAUCAGAACAAUGACAUUGUUGCGGGGUAUGCCUAAGAUGGUAACGGACAAGGAUAAAAUCGAAACGACAAGUCAUGAAGAGAUUGUCAGGAAGAUUUGGCCAACCUUUGCCGGGAGGCCCGAGGAAUUUAUGACCCUUGCAUUGGUGUCUUUGCAUAAAUUCGGCUAGGCCAUGGGGUGUUGGCAUCAGCGUUGCAUCUUUGGGUUGCUGAUUGGCAGAGGUGGCACUGCAACCUGGUCCGUGGAAGGGGCACUGGCUGGCUCAUAAAGGUAGAUGGCGUUGGCUAUGGAGCGGACUGCUGGCGCUGUCCAUGGGGCGGACUGAUGGCAUUGGUCAUGGAGCGGACUGAUGGCUGGGACGCGGACUGAUGGCAUUGUAUUGGGACGCAGACUGUUGGCGUCGGCUUUGGGUUGGUAGAGAUGGCGCUGCUUUGAAAGGCUAAGAUGGCGUCGUUGGCUUGGUGAAGAUGACGCUGCUUUGAACGGCUAAGAUGGCGCCGUUAGCUUGGUUUGGCCGUGGCACUGCUUGCUUGGCAUGAAGCCGUUAGAGCUUGGCUUGGACGUGCGCUAUCUUGUCUUGGUCGUGGCGUUGUCUUGGCACGCUUGGGACACGGAACUGCUGGCUCGGCUUGGGACACGGAUUUGUUGGUUUGGAUUGGCCGGGCGCGGGUCCGUUUACCUCUUUCCAUGCAUGCCCAAAAAUAAGAAACCUUCCCCUAUUCGAACUCCAAAAGAUGACAUGCCUAUAAAAGGCGUCACCCCUCCUCUUUACCUCGUAUUAUUGGUUUUAUUUCCACAUCUUGGUGCUAGUGGCAGAGUGGUAGCAAUAAAGCAGACGAGCAUAUUCCAGUUAUUUUGAAGGCAAAAGCAACAUAAUAAAAUUAUGUUAGUAUGUCACCUGAAGAUAUUCCCACCGCCAUGUCGAAAAAUGUUAGCAACUACAGACCCAACAUGAGUGACGAAUUUUUUACAAGGUCCGCCACAGUUAAGAGAAACCAUCCCAAAUAUGUGGCUAUCCUUCUGGGUGGUUCAGAAAAUGAAGGAGACGCCCCAUCGGUUCGGCCAGGACGCGUGAUACAAUUUUGUCUUCCGAAAAAUGAGUAUCUUGCUUCUCCUAUUGACUUCAGGGCUUGUCAGAGUCCAUUGCGCUCUUUUGAGGAGUGGAUGCGGUUCAUGAUAAGUCAAGACCGCGUAAGAGACAGUCUGACUAGGGCGCAAAUCCUCGAUGCAAUCAUGGCUUCUGCAACACUUCAAAUCAGGAAGAAAAUCGUGGGUUUGGUCGCUUUCAUCUCCAGAUGGUGUCCGAACACUCAUACGUCCAUAUGCAGGUGGAGCGAAAUGACUAUUUCCUUAGAGAGUGUAGCUGUCCUGUUGAAUCUUCCAAUAACAGGGAAUCUUGAUAUCACCUUGUCUGAUGAAGAAGAAGAAAUGCGCGUCACUCUUGUUGCUAAGUCGACAGGGUUUGUUCGGAAAGAUUAUGAAACAAAGUGCUUCUACAGUUGGUGGGUGUCUGAAUGGUUCUCGAAAGACUCGGUGCUGGAUCAAAUGAAAAAUACACUCCACGUUGCGUCAUUUAUGGAUCUGUGGUUAUCUAGAGAUAUUCUUGAUGACGGUUCCGGCAAGAAAGAGAUAAGACAUGAUCUCAUCAAACUGGCUAUCAAAUUGGCGAAAGGUGUUGUCCUCCAUAUCGGUGGUUUGUUUCUUGGAUCUUUGUAUACCCAUAUGGAUCACUUGGGCGCGGAUAUAUGCUUCUAAAGGUUACAUGAAAGUAGACUCGUGUGUCGACAUUACCUUCCUCCAAACGUAGUUGUGGGAGCAUUUCAAAAGUUAUGCUCCCAAGCCGUUGGCUUCACUUCCUGAAUCCUAUGGUGGUUCCAGGAUACUCCGCUGGUUAAACAAGCAUCCUAAAUUUGGAUCAAAUCUCGUCGACAUACUUGAUAAUGCAUAUGCAGUUAGCUUUCUUCAUUGGGCUCCGGUCCAUUCGUCCAUAGUUCAGCCGAACACUUUCGCUGCUGCCCCAAAUAUGACUUUGCUUUAUGCCGGAGAGAAUAUUAGCGUUGGAAAAAUCAUAUUCAUGCGAAGCUGUACACCUGGACACGUGCCAUCUUUCUUCAGGGGAUCUUAUGAGGCAGUUCCUUAUAAUAUUGACAGGGCUGCUCGGCAUAUGGGUUUUGACCAAGGAGUCCCAUUUCUUCGUCAGUCGGCGGCUCCGAAAGAAUUGUUGUCAGCUUUUUUUUAUGCCAGUUUUCUUGCGCCGGGUAAAAAUCUCCCUUUCCUGCUCUCAGAACGAAGUCCAUCGACGAUCUCCAAAUACAAUGUGUUCUGGAAGGAUGAGUUUCUCGCCCUCCAUGGGUUUGUAAAUGACGUGAUGAAACAUCCCUGUGGCAAGCCUUCCUCUACAUUUUAGCGGAACAUCCAUUGUUGAGGGAGUUUCCUACGGCUAAGAGGAAAUCUCCCAGCCCGGAUGUGGACAGUCCCCAGAAAAAAGAGCGAAGGUCUAAAAAUCGUGCGAGUGGUUUUCAGUCGGAUUCGACGGCUCUUGUGACUUUUAGUUCUUCCAAUAUGCGAGGUCUCAACAAGAUAAACGCCUUUACCAUACUUGCAAGUGGCCAAAAGGUGAUGCCUUCUGAAGAAAAGUCCGGCGAUACUGAGCCUCUCGGUGAUGGGAUUCCGGAAGAACCCUAUAUGUGAUAAUCGCAAUCGCACGGUGUCUAACUAGUAGACAGAAGCAAGUACGGGUCGAACCCAAAGGAAGCGGUGGAAAUACUCUAAUCAAUAUCUC